UUACGGCCAUAUCCCGUUGAAACAUCGGUUCCCAUACAAUCACUGAAGUUAGGCAACGUCGAGCCUAGUCAGUACCUAAGUGGCUGAGCGCUUGAGAAUACCAGGUGCUC
Non-coding RNA from Acanthosepion pharaonis, 110 nucleotides. The record is from the annotation of a GenBank genome assembly. NCBI's taxonomy places the organism in Eukaryota, Metazoa, Mollusca, Cephalopoda, Sepiida, Sepiidae.